CUCAAAAUUUUAAUUCCUUUAGUUUAGCUUAACCCCAUGCAUCUUAUACACACGGCGCACACUCUCACACUCCAUACAUUUAGCUAGUAAAUUACGUUAUAAACAAAAAAGCAAAAUAAAAAAGAUAAAUUACGUUAUCACUAGCUAUCCUAUAACCCACUUAGACUAAGUUUUGGAUUCUGGUUCGAAACGUAACAUCUUAAUUGAAAGGGCAUGGGCU
RNAcentral lists this long non-coding RNA (220 nucleotides) under Paramuricea clavata. Lineage: Eukaryota; Metazoa; Cnidaria; Anthozoa; Malacalcyonacea; Plexauridae. The record is from RNAcentral.